GUGAGUAUAGCUCAGUGGUAGAGUGCAUGCUUAGCAUGCAUGAGGUCCUGGAUUCAAUCCCUAGGACCUCCA
RNAcentral lists this transfer RNA (72 nucleotides) under Camelus bactrianus (Bactrian camel). It matches the Rfam family "tRNA". Rfam says of the family: Transfer RNA (tRNA) molecules are approximately 80 nucleotides in length. Their secondary structure includes four short double-helical elements and three loops (D, anti-codon, and T loops). Lineage: Eukaryota; Metazoa; Chordata; Mammalia; Artiodactyla; Camelidae. The record is from Rfam by way of RNAcentral. RNAcentral also lists the same sequence under 1 other name.